The sequence is a small nucleolar RNA, 52 nucleotides long. It matches the Rfam family "Small nucleolar RNA sR5". The record is from Rfam.
UUGGUGAUGACGCCCUUCAGUUUGAUUGAUGAUAAGGGCCCGUGUUACUGAA